This 253-nucleotide ribosomal RNA is filed under the name uncultured bacterium. RNAcentral's name for it is "partial 16S ribosomal RNA". It matches the Rfam family "Bacterial small subunit ribosomal RNA", at positions 524 to 776 of the family's 1533-position model. The record is from RNAcentral.
UACGUAGGGGGCAAGCGUUGUCCGGAAUUAUUGGGCGUAAAGAGCGUGUAGGCGGUCCGGUAAGUCGGCUGUGAAAGUCUAGGGCUCAACCCUGGGAUGCCGGUCGAUACUGCCGGACUAGAGUUCGGAAGAGGCGAGUGGAAUUCCCGGUGUAGCGGUGAAAUGCGCAGAUAUCGGGAGGAACACCUAUGGCGAAGGCAGCUCGCUGGGACGUUACUGACGCUGAGACGCGAAAGCGUGGGGAGCAAACAGG